UUCGUGUAUGUUAACAGGAUCAUGAAGACAAUAUAAACCUCCAUGCAAAUCAGCUUGACCAAUCGUCUUGAAUGUAGUAUUGUCCUGUAUCUGAUAGCUCUUAUGAGAAAAUAUUAGUUUACAAUUAGAAUCAUCAAUCAACUUAGGGACAAAAAUCAAUUUAAACACAAAAUCUGGUAUGUACAGAACAUUAUAAAUGGUAAGAUUAUUAUCAAAUUGUAUUGUUCCAGCAUAUUCAGCAGUGACAGUUGAAUUAUCAGGCAGUUUUAUGAAAACAGGUUUAAUUCUAAAAAAAAUUUUAAACUGGUUUUUAUCGUAAGUAACAUGAUCUGUAGCACUUGUAUCGAGAAUCCAAUGAAAGUUUGAUUUACCUGGUUUGGUAUGAUGUGUGGCCGAGACAUCUUUGUUGACACUAUGUAUUUGGUUUACAGUGUGGUUUGGUGAUUCUUGCAGUAACUUCAAAAGCUGUUGAACUUGUUCAGCAGUGAAAGGAGGAUUAUUUUGUCUUAUGUCUUGAUCACUAUUGUUCCUAUGAAUUUGACUAUCAUCACUUCUUUGAACAAUACUGCAAGAUUGGUCAUUGCCUUUCUCCCUUUCAAAAUUCUCAUUUCUUUGCUUGUACCAUGGAGGGUACCCGUGCUUGGCAUAGCAUUCAU
Molecule: long non-coding RNA, 656 nt
Filed under: Phaseolus vulgaris (common bean)
Lineage: Eukaryota; Viridiplantae; Streptophyta; Magnoliopsida; Fabales; Fabaceae
Description: long non-coding RNA (PVUL_LNC001430)
Source: RNAcentral